CACUCGGUCUCUCAAAAAUAAACAAACAUUGAAAAACAAAACAAAACUUUAUUGCCUCAUGGUUUUAGAGGUGGGAAGUCCAAGAUGAAGGCGUCAGCAGGACUGGUUCCUUCUGAGGGAGAAUCCAGGCCCCCUCCUGGCUGCUGGUGUCUGUCUUUGUUCCCUGGCUUGUAGAGACAUCACCUCAUCUCUGCCUUCAUGUUCACACGGCCUUGCCCCUGUGUGUGCCUGUGUCCAAAUUUAUAAGGUCACCAGUCAUUGGAUUAGGGGCCGCCCUACUCCGGAAUGACCUCGUCUUGUGUGACCACAUCUAUGACAACUGUAUUUCCAAAUUAGAUCACAUUCUGAGGUCCCGGGGGUUGGCACUUCAACUUAGGAAUAUUGGAGGAUGCAGUUCAAGCCAUGACAUUGGCGAGAAGCCCCCGGGGAGUCUCUGGAGUCCUGAGUAAGGACAGAACCAAGGCUGACUGGCACUCUUCUUGGGGGUGGGGCCGGCCACCUGGUCACCAGCAGCCUUGCAUCACCAGGCUGGUCUCCAUCCAACAGAACCAAAUCAACAAAUGUAUUUAACACCCUCUAGGUGCAAAGCCUUGGGGCCAAAUGCUGUGGAGAAAUGGGGCACCGCCUAAGACAGACUCCCUGCCCUGACAAGGAGAAAACUUUCCUUUGAUGUGAAGAUGGCCUGUUCUGGUGUCGUGGAAAGUUCUGUCUGCCCUUCCUGCUCAGGGGAUCAAAUGAAAGAAGGCUUUAUGAAGCUGCCACCCAGGCCUUCCCGAGAGUGGCCAGGCCUUGGGCUGGAGACAGGCCCCGUCCUAUCGAGCCGUCCUCUAAACCGUGGGCCUGGCCUGAAGCGUCUCACUUUGGAACCUUUUGUCAGAAGCUGGCUGUGAGCAUCUCACCUAAGAAUGUUGGUUGGCAAACCCUAACUACCUGUAACCACAUCAGAACCACACCUGUAUUCAUGUGGCUUUCUUCCUGAUGCCCGUGUGAACCCGCGAUCUGGCUUAUACGAUGUUAGGUUUCUACCUUCUAGAGGAAUAAAGCAAACCAAAACAUUUAAUGCAAAAAGCCCACUUUGAAAAGUCCGA
Felis catus (domestic cat) is the source of this 1088-nucleotide long non-coding RNA. RefSeq lists it as uncharacterized. The record is from RefSeq and is a predicted model, not a curated record. The transcript is spliced from 3 exons. Lineage: Eukaryota; Metazoa; Chordata; Mammalia; Carnivora; Felidae.